UGGGGAAUUUUGGACAAUGGGCGAAAGCCUGAUCCAGCAAUGCCGCGUGUGUGAAGAAGGCCUUCGGGUUGUAAAGCACUUUUGUCCGGAAAGAAAUCCUUGGCUCUAAUACAGUCGGGGGAUGACGGUACCGGAAGAAUAAGCACCGGCUAACUACGUGCCAGCAGCCGCGGUAAUACGUAGGGUGCAAGCGUUAAUCGGAAUUACUGGGCGUAAAGCGUGCGCAGGCGGUUUGCUAAGACCGAUGUGAAAUCCCCGGGCUCAACCUGGGAACUGCAUUGGUGACUGGCAGGCUAGAGUAUGGCAGAGGGGGGUAGAAUUCCACGUGUAGCAGUGAAAUGCGUAGAGAUGUGGAGGAAUACCGAUGGCGAAGGCAGCCCCCUGGGCCAAUACUGACGCUCAUGCACGAAAGCGUGGGGAGCAAACAGGAUUAGAUACCCUGGUAGUCCACGCCCUAAACGAUGUCAACUAGUUGUUGGGGAUUCAUUUCCUUAGUAACGUAGCUAACGCGUGAAGUUGACCGCCUGGGGGAGUACGGUCGCAAGAUUAAAACUCAAGGAAUUGACGGGGUCAUAGCUGUUUCCU
RNAcentral lists this ribosomal RNA (585 nucleotides) under uncultured bacterium. Its description in RNAcentral is "partial 16S ribosomal RNA". It matches the Rfam family "Bacterial small subunit ribosomal RNA", at positions 355 to 1375 of the family's 1533-position model. The record is from RNAcentral.